CAUAUUCGAGGAUCUCCAUGCGCGGGAAUUCGAUAUAUAUACAUAAAUUUUCGAAUUUUGUGUAUCCACGGUGAAUCGAUUUAACUCGUAGCACUAAAAGGCAUGGCGUCCGGUACAGUAGUAGAAAAUAAACGUGUAGCAAAUUUAAACGUAUCUAAUAAUCAUGGCAGAAAAAUUCUAAACGUUUACAGAGUAUCGACAAGUGGAACGGACAAAACGAAAGUGACGUUUUGUACAGAUGUGGACAAGUCUGUAAUCGUACAUAACUUUGAAAAGAGGGGAUGGGUUCAAGUUGGUCCGGAAGAUGAUUGGAAUUUCUAUUGGGCAGUCACGCAAUCAUGCAGAAACAUAUUCAGCGUGGAAACUGGCUAUAGGAUGGAUGAUAAACAAAUAAUCAAUCAUUUUCCGAAUCAUUACGAAUUGACACGAAAAGAUCUUUUAGUAAAAAAUAUAAAACGUUAUCGGAAGGAAUUAGAACGCGAAGGAAAUCCUUUGGCGGAAAGAGGAGAUGGGAAAUAUAUUUAUCUUGAUUUCAUACCUGUUACGUUUGUUUUACCGGCAGAUUAUAAUAUGUUUGUGGAAGAAUACCGUAAAUCACCGCAAAGCACAUGGAUCAUGAAACCAUGUGGAAAAUCACAGGGUGCUGGUAUAUUUUUAAUUAACAAAUUAAGUAAAUUGAAAAAGUGGUCUCGAGAAGCAAAAAACCCAUUUAAUCCAAAUUUGACGAAAGAAUCAUACGUAAUAUCUAGAUACAUUGAUAAUCCGCUUCUAAUCGGUGGCAAAAAAUUUGAUCUUCGUUUGUAUGUUCUUAUUACAUCUUUUCGGCCACUGAAAGCAUAUCUAUUCAAAUUAGGAUUUUGCCGGUUUUGUACGGUUAAAUACGAUACUAGUAUCCAAGAAUUGGAUAAUAUGUACGUUCAUCUUACAAAUGUAUCUGUGCAAAAACAUGGUGAAGAAUAUAAUAGUAAGCAUGGUGGUAAAUUAAGCGUGCACAAUUUAAGAUUAUACUUGGAGAGCACGCGUGGUAAAACUGUUACAGAAAAACUAUUUGCAAACAUCACUUGGUGCAUUGUACAUUCUUUAAAAGCUGUCGUUCCAGUUAUCGCAAAUGAUCGACAUUGUUUCGAGUGUUACGGCUAUGACAUCAUUAUUGAUAAUGAUCUUAAACCGUGGCUUAUAGAGAAAAUGAAUCCUGUACAAGAAUUGAUAUCAAUAUUUUUUAUUGAGUUCGCCUUUGAUGAAAUAUAUAUUAAAAUACAUUUUUCUCAAGAUAUGAUCUUAUUGAACUCAUUACUACUGCAUUAUAUGUAAAUGCGUCUCCAUCACUGACGUCUACUACAGUGAACGAUCGAAUUUUAAAAUACAAAUUAAUCGAUAAUAUUAUCUCAAUAGUCGUCCCACCGGAUGGUGUCCCAGACGUUAGAUGGAACAAGUCUCCACCACCGGAAGCACUCGGAAAUUUUGAACUUCUCUUAGACGAAGAAUUAUGCACUCAAGAGGACAAAGAAUAUUCGUCAGCGAAAUAUCGAAGUUCUUCAAGCAAAUGGAAAUAAAUAUUCAGGUGUUCUCAAUUAACGAGAAGAAGAAUUAAUAAUAAACGUUAUUUUAUGCGUAUAUUAA
Molecule: unclassified non-coding RNA, 1620 nt
Filed under: Apis florea (little honeybee)
Lineage: Eukaryota; Metazoa; Arthropoda; Insecta; Hymenoptera; Apidae
Description: probable tubulin polyglutamylase TTLL1, transcript variant X4
Source: RNAcentral